Non-coding RNA from Caulochytrium protostelioides, 73 nucleotides. The record is from the annotation of a GenBank genome assembly. Lineage: Eukaryota; Fungi; Chytridiomycota; Caulochytriomycetes; Caulochytriales; Caulochytriaceae.
GUCUCGGUGGCGCAAUCGGUGGCGCGUGAGUCUCAUAAUCUCAAGGUCGCGAGUUCGAUCCUCGCCCGAGGCA